Puntigrus tetrazona (Sumatra barb) is the source of this 907-nucleotide non-coding RNA. NCBI's taxonomy places the organism in Eukaryota, Metazoa, Chordata, Actinopteri, Cypriniformes, Cyprinidae. The record is from the annotation of a RefSeq genome assembly.
AAAACCAUAAAUAUUUUGAUGAUGUUGCUGCUGUUGAUGAAAAUGUUGGAAAAAUCUAAAAAUUGUAGUGUUCUAAAUUCUCUAAAAAAAAUCUGGCUUUUUUUUCUUGUUUUAUACAUAUAUUGCAAUGAAGAUAAGCUAUAUUCUUGUAAACCGAUUCAUCAGUUACUUAAUUAGCAGAGAUAGCAGCUCAAGCUAAACCCCGCCCACUUCUUUACAUCAUCAGACAUGCUUCAGUGCUCUGAGAGUGUUUAUAGUGCUGUGAGUUUAACACUUCAUGACUGAGAGCAGAACACAACACAAUCUUCAUCAUCACACAAGACUCAACUACUACAAUGAACAACAUCCUCAUCCUCAUCUGGACCGUUGCUUUUAUUCAAGAAUCCAGAGGAGUCACUCUGACUCAACCUAAAGUUAAAACUGUCCAGCUCGGUCAAACAGCUACAAUAGAGUGUAACAUAGAUGUAGGAAUAUACAGCAGCUACUUAGCCUGGUAUCAGCAGAAACCUGGAGAAGCUCCUAAACUCCUCAUUUAUUACAUAAACAGCCUCCAGUCAGGAACUCCAUCUAGAUUCAGUGGAAGUGGAACAGCAUACACUGGAAAAGAUUUCUCUCUGACCAUCAGAGGAGUCCAGACUGAAGAUACAGGAGAUUAUUACUGUCAGAGUUAUCAUAGUGGUGGUGUGUUCACACAGUGAUAAAGAGUCGUACAAAAAGCUGUGAGUCAGAGUCACAGUGACUGCACUGAUACAGCUGAGAGAUACUGCAGCUGAUGAUAAGGUUAUUAUUUCUCAUAACAGUCUCUUUCACUCAAUAAUAUUAAAGUUUAUGAGUCUUUCUGGGUCUUGUGUUUUCAACAUUACAAUAAACAUUGUAAUAGUUAUUAUUGUAAUGCGUUUAAUUCUAU